Molecule: ribosomal RNA, 263 nt
Filed under: Loma branchialis
Lineage: Eukaryota; Fungi; Microsporidia; Glugeidae
Description: partial small subunit ribosomal RNA
Rfam family: Microsporidia small subunit ribosomal RNA
Source: RNAcentral
GCGCACUACAGUGGUCGCCGAAAUUACCUGAUAAUUUUAAAGGCGAUCGAGAGGGAAUGAGCUUUGUAAGAGGCUCAGGAACGAGGAAUUGCUAGUAAUCGCGGACUCAUUAAGACGCGAUGAAUACGUCCCUGUUCUUUGUACACACCGCCCGUCGUUAUCGAAGAUGAAGACAGGCGCGAACGAUCUACCAGAAAGUGAGCGCAGGUCUUUAGAUCUGAUACAAGUCGUAACAAGGUAGCUGUAGGAGAUCCUGUAGCUGG